UCCUUUAAAGCAAGCAGGCUCUCUGUCCCUCAGCGGCUCUUCUCCCGCUUUGCUGUUUUAAAGCGAGCCACGGAGGAGGGAAGGAAGGGGAACCAUGGAUCCUCUGCUCACGACUGCAGCAGAUCCCCCCGGCCAUCCGUAGGCAUUCACUCCAUAACACGCACAGACAUUUCCCCUUACUUUCUAGGAGGAAAACAGUGCGUGUUAUGGAGCGAAAAAUACGGUACUUAAAAAAAAAAUUCAAUUCAUUAUGGAUCAUUUCCCAAUAUACUUUUACAAGUCCACCACAUAUGAAAGUCCACCUCUUGCUUAGAUGUAUAAGACCGAAUUAGUGCUGGAGAUGCAUAGAAUCAGAACUGUAGACUUGGAAGGGACCCCAAGGUCAUCUAGUCCAACCCCCUACAAUCCUGGAAGAAUAAAUACCCACUGUCAAUUAAGCAGUGGUCUGAGCACCUCACUGCUUUGGCUACAUACUAACACAUUUUAUAUAGGCGUAAAUUUUGUGUGGAUACCUGUUUACACAUCUGUAAGACUUGCAUUAACUUACAGGUUUUAUUUAAGAUCUAUACAGAAGAUCGCAAGAUGCGGGUGGUGCUGUGGGUUAAACCACAGAGCCUAGGGCUUGCCGAUCAGAAGGUCGGCAGUUCGAAUCCCUGCGAUGGGGUGAGCUCCCAUUUCUCAGUCCCAGCUCCUACCCACCUAGCAGUUCGAAAGCACGUCAAAGUGCAAGUAGAUAAAUAGGUACCGCUCUGGCGGGAAGGUCAACGGCGUUUCCGUGCGCUGCUCUGGUUCGCCAGAGGCGGUUUAGUCAUGCUGGCCACAUGACCCGGAAGCUGUAUGCCGGCUCCCUCGGCCAGUAAAGCAAGAUGAGCGCCACAACCCCAGAGUCGGUCACGACUGGACCUAAUGGUCAGGGGUCCCUUUAACUUUACCUUACAGAAGAUCUCUAUGUUCACAAUGUGAAUUGAUGAUUGCUGUUAUUGUUUUCGAUGUCUUUCUUUCUUCUUUAAUGUACUUACUAUUUCUUCCCUCUUUUUUCUUUUGCCAUGUUGAAUGUGCUAAGAAAAAUAAAUCAAUAAGGCGUGACAGGGAGAUGUUCUCUUCUCCCCCAGGAUCUGGUGACCUUCCAGGAGGUGGCUGUGCAUUUCACAGAGGAGGAGUGGGCCCUGCUGGAUCAGGACCAAAGGUCUCUUCACAGGGAAAUCAUGGAGGAAAAUUGCUGGAUCGUGGCUCCUCUGGGGAUCGUGGUGAUGUUUUGAAAGGAGGAAUAGAGAAUCUGCACCUCCUAGUCCGGGAUGCUGUUGGACUACAAUGCCCAUGAUUGACAGAUGGUAUCUAACUUUGAGUAGACUACAGAGCCAUAGCUAGGUGAUAUUGCACCCCUGGCAGAACCAUCCAGAUUGCACCUCCCGCCACAGACAAAUUAGCUCUUCUUUCCACCUCUCCUCCAAUUCUUGGUAUGAGCUUUCGUGUCUGUUUCAAUUCCAUUGGCUUCCUCAACUGUCUGAGCGAUAGCCUCCAACUCCUGAGAUGAGGAAGCUGACCACCAUUUUGCUUUACCUCAAGGCUGUAUCCAACCAAGAUACACUCAGAAUGAACCCACUCCAAUUAAUGGACCUAAGCUUAACCAAUUGGCAUUCAAUAUUUAUUGAUGUUUCUAAUUAUGAUUUACGUAUAUUUUGCUGGGUUUAUCCUUACAUAGUGUACUCCACAUUAUUAUAUUUUUUAAUGAAAGUGCAUAUUACAAAUUUGUAAAAAUAAAUUCAAAGAGCAGAACUAA
Podarcis raffonei (Aeolian wall lizard) is the source of this 1780-nucleotide long non-coding RNA. RefSeq lists it as uncharacterized. Lineage: Eukaryota; Metazoa; Chordata; Lepidosauria; Squamata; Lacertidae. The record is from RefSeq and is a predicted model, not a curated record. The transcript has 2 exons.